UUAAAUGUGUUCACUGAAGAGUAAGAAUGACCCCUGAACAGGUGCACAAAUCAAGCUGCCAGUUUUGUUUCUUAAUAGUAAGUGUAACUCAAGGCACAAUUUGCUACAAAGAUAAACCGAAGCUAGGCAUCUAAAUCUAUUUAUUUCCUGAAUUAAAUUCAACAGAUGAGGUCACAACUGUAUACACAGUUGUGUAUACAUGGUGUUAGAAGAAGGAUGCAGCUUCUUGUGGAAACCUCCGAUUGCCUUGUUAAUGCCUUGUUCACAAAGCUCAUUAGCCCCCUGUUGUUUUCAUUUAGCAUAAUGAGCCACUCUGAAAUGUAUUUAUUUUUUGAUUAAAGCAAGUAGUGCUGACAGCAGACACUGUCUGGGGGGGAAAUGCAGUGGAACAAAACAUUAUUGGUGUCCUGAGUGCACAGGGACUCAGUGGCUCUGCCCAGCCUCAUCCAGCUCUUGCUGUUGUCCCUCAGGAAAAGGAAUCUGGGAGCUGAGGGUGGCCACAACACCAGCCAGGUCAAGACCUCACCAACAGGACACGGUCCAGUGACCAUCCAGCAAGGACAUGGGACACAACGUCAGCCCAGGAAACCCAAACAGCAGUUCAGGAACAGAAUUAGCAGCAAAGACACCCACGAGUCACCUCUGUCAUCCCAGCAUGAGGAGGACAUGGUUAGCAGCUGGAUUGACACAAAGACUCAGGCUGACUGGAGACAGGGAGGUGUUGGAUCACCUCCUCCUCGAGGCUGAUGGCAGUAGACAGACACUGAAGCACGGGGAGGAACUCUUCUGACUGAAUAUCUCACACGUGGCAUGGGACAGGAGGCUCAGUCAGAAUGAGUGUCCACUGUCUGACAGCUCUCAUGGAUUUUUCUGAAUUUUGCCACAUUUUGGGGGGUGCCUUGAAGCCCCUGGUUCUGGAAUGAUGGAAUCAUAUUUUUUAAGGCCUUAUGUUUCUGAAGAAGAGAGAGAAAACCAGUGUCUCUGAAGACACAAACAAUAUUUGUUGGGGAUCUAUAACUAUGUAUCUGUUUGUUACUCCUGUUUUGCUUUGUAUUUAAACAAUGUAAUGAUUCAUGGAGACCUGA
Long non-coding RNA from Haemorhous mexicanus (house finch), 1085 nucleotides. RefSeq lists it as uncharacterized. NCBI's taxonomy places the organism in Eukaryota, Metazoa, Chordata, Aves, Passeriformes, Fringillidae. The transcript has 2 exons. The record is from RefSeq and is a predicted model, not a curated record.